AGAUUAAGGAAGAGUUCAGAAGAAUUACAACUGUUGCUCUUGAGUCCACCUUUAUGCAUAAGCUGGAUGAAUAUACACCAAAACUAUUGGACUUGUUUAAGUCAAAAGGAGGAGCAGUAAAGGCGGACAUGCAGAAAAUCCUUGAAGUUCUGUGCAGGUGCAACACCAUCCAGGAAAGAAGAGACAGUGUGAUCCGUGGCUUGAUCAUAAACCUCGGCGAGAGGGUUGAAGACUUGAUCACAGAAUACAAGGAUGCUGACGACACCAUGAUCCGAGAGGACCUCGUUCAGCAUGUGAGGAAGGUGUUCACUGUGAAGGAUCUGCACCAGAAUAUAGAGAAUGGAAUCUGCAUCGAAGGAGCAGAGGUCCUGGCUGGUAUUCCCAGUGUUACAGUCAUGUACGUUGCUUAUGGGCCUCAUCUAUGGCUUAAAUCUAAGGUACAAAGAACUGAAAUAUACCUUUGAGGUGGUCCAAAAUGUAUUCUUGGAACUUGAUGAUCACAGGACCUCCCCACGGGUCCAAGAUAUCUAUGAGAACUCUCAAAGGGCCACUCACAAACUGUGGUCUAAACCCUACGCAGUAAGCUGAAAAGCUAGUUGCUAGGUGGUAUAGAAGCUGCAGUUUACAUUAUGCUCUUUGUUAGGUGAAGUCCUAAGAGACAUUGUCAAUUCCUGUUUUAAAAAACAGCUUUGUUUUAAAACUUACUCCACAUGCACUAGUGGAUAUCUGAGAUUAAUUGUCAGGUGCAAGCUAUCUGGAUGCAACUUUACCUAAGGAAGCAAGGUGGAGUUAUACCCAGAAUGCUUAUACCUGCCAAAAUAAUAUGUCCAUAUGGGCUUCACUAGUGCAUAUGGAGUCAGGUUUAAGGGAGAAUUUGGCAUAUAAUUUGUAACAAUAUGUGCAAUGUAUGUUUUGAAAACCCUUGUUUUGAUUAAUCUUAAACAGUUUGAAUGAGGUUGUAUUUUAGUUAAAGUUCAUAUUGUGCUUUGUGUAAAGUCUAUAAAGACAAAUGGUUAAUUAACAUUUCUGUUAAAAUAUUGCUUUGGUGUUAAGGGGCACACAGACCGCCAGAAAAUUAUUGCCAAAAUGUACAAGAUGUGAGGUCAAAGUGCUAAUCCCAAACUAUCACCUAAACUUUAUGAAGUUGUUAUGAAGAUCUAAAAUGAUUUGUAGUCAGGUGCAAGCUAUCUUGAUAUAACUUUACCUAAGGAGGCAAGGUGUAGUUAUACCUAGAAUGCUUACAGAUUACAAAAUACGAUUGCCUUAAGGAGUAGGGCUUAAGGGGAAAUUUGAGAUUGAAGUUUGAAGAAAUUAUAAAAUUAUAUUAAAAAAAAAUCAAAAUAAAGGUGUGG
This is a long non-coding RNA of Oncorhynchus tshawytscha (Chinook salmon), 1352 nucleotides long. RefSeq lists it as uncharacterized. The record is from RefSeq and is a predicted model, not a curated record. The transcript has 3 exons. Lineage: Eukaryota; Metazoa; Chordata; Actinopteri; Salmoniformes; Salmonidae.